UCUAUGUUAAGCAAUCGUAACCGGACUUAUGUAGAAGUCACAACUAUCUGAGGCCGGGCAAUAAAAAUAUAGGUGUUAAUAUAUGUUAGAGAUUUGGUACAAUGAACCAAACUCCUAAAACAUACCACACACUAAAGGAAAUGAGGAGAUGACCUAUCUCAGUCUAGCUCAUGUUGAUUCAUCUGACACAAGGUCAUUG
Molecule: long non-coding RNA, 199 nt
Filed under: Lathyrus oleraceus (garden pea)
Lineage: Eukaryota; Viridiplantae; Streptophyta; Magnoliopsida; Fabales; Fabaceae
Description: Pisum sativum (pea) long non-coding RNA (PSAT_LNC034835)
Source: RNAcentral